CCCUAGACUUCGCCUUAGGGCAAAAUCAAAAUUGGAACGAUACAGAGAAGAUUAGCAUGGUCCCUGCGCAAGGAUGACACACUGUCUCUUGAGUGGAAGCAUCUUCUA
RNAcentral lists this small nuclear RNA (108 nucleotides) under Blastocladiella emersonii. Lineage: Eukaryota; Fungi; Blastocladiomycota; Blastocladiomycetes; Blastocladiales; Blastocladiaceae. The record is from RNAcentral.